UUUUCUACUCGAAAUUUUGACCUCAAUGUACUUUUUCGGGCCUUUUCGUGAUCUUUGCUAUAGUACUGGGCGGAAACUAUAUGUUCAGACACUGUUUUCGAAUAUUUAGGAUAUAUCAAAGCUCUUCUAAACAAGAUAGGGUAUUCCUACAUAGCUGGUGGGACCCACAGCAAAUGGAUCAUAAAGUCUACAAAAAAGAAUAGAUACGAUUGCAUUGCAUGUAGUAACGGAUGCGAUCAUACCAUCAUUAAUGCACCGGAUCCCAUCAGAACUCUAAAGUUAAGCGUGUUUGGGCGAGAGUAGUACUAGGAUGGGUGACCACUCGGAAUGUCCUCGUGUUGCAUCCCUCUUUUUCGGUUUUUCUCUUUUUUUUUGUUAAAAAUGUAUGACUCUAUAAAUUCUAGACCGUGAGGCCAAACUUAGCAUGUGAUACCUUUCCGGAAAGCUCAAAGAUAGCUCUCCGAUGAAAGAGGAAGGAAAAUGGAAUUCUUCUAUUGUUUUUUUUUCUACUCCAAAUUUUGACCUUAGUGUACUUUUUCGAGCCUUUUCGUGAUCUUUGCUAUAUUACGGGGCGAAAAUUUUAUGUUCGGACAUUGUUUUCAAAUAUUUUGUAUCAAUCAAAGCUCUUAUAAACAAGAUAGGGUAUUCCUACAUAGCUGGUGGGACACACGACAAAUGGAUCAUAAAGUCUUCAAAAAAGAAUAGAUACGAUUGCAUUGCAUGUAGUAACAGAUGCGAUCAUACUAGCAUUAAUGCACCGGAUCCCAUCAGAACUCUAAAGGUAAGCGUUCUUGGGCGAGAGUAGUACUAGGAUGGGUGACCUCCCGGAACGUCCACGUGUUGCAUCCCUAUUUUUCCGGUUUUUCUCUUUUUUUUU
This 877-nucleotide small RNA is filed under the name Arabidopsis thaliana (thale cress). The record is from RNAcentral. Lineage: Eukaryota; Viridiplantae; Streptophyta; Magnoliopsida; Brassicales; Brassicaceae.